RNAcentral lists this long non-coding RNA (435 nucleotides) under Selaginella moellendorffii. Its description in RNAcentral is "long non-coding RNA (SMOE_LNC001860)". Lineage: Eukaryota; Viridiplantae; Streptophyta; Lycopodiopsida; Selaginellales; Selaginellaceae. The record is from RNAcentral.
UUCUUCCAGCACCAGUCCAUCCAGCACCACCAGGAGAGUGAUGAUCUGCUGCUGCUGCCAUCGCUCCCGCUCCACCAGCAACAGCAGCCCAGCAUGAAUCUCAUGAGCUGCUGGAACAUGAUCAAUCAGCAGCAGCAGCAAGGAUGCGAGCAAACACCAAUUCAGCUCGCCCAGUGUGGCAGCGUCGUGGAAGAGGAUGUCACGGCCUACUUGGAUGGAUUCACGCCCCCUGCAACGCCACCACACCAGGAAGAUCAUCAGAAGAAUCACCCAAAGCCGCAGCAGCAAGAGCAACAGCCAGACGAUUGGAUGGAGUACCUGAUGAUGAGCAGUUGCAUCAGCGAUGGAGCGGCAGCUGUAGCCGAGCACCACCCCUCGGAAUCCUCGCACAGCUCCGAGCUCUUCACCCCGGACGACAUCUGGAGGGAGCACUUC